This 514-nucleotide ribosomal RNA is filed under the name uncultured bacterium. Its description in RNAcentral is "bacterial SSU rRNA". It matches the Rfam family "Bacterial small subunit ribosomal RNA", at positions 278 to 783 of the family's 1533-position model. The record is from RNAcentral.
GAUGCAUAGCCGACCUGAGAGGGUGAUCGGCCACACUGGGACUGAGACACGGCCCAGACUCCUACGGGAGGCAGCAGUAGGGAAUCUUCGGCAAUGGACGAAAGUCUGACCGAGCAACGCCGCGCGAGUGAAGAAGGUUUUCGGAUCGUAAAACUCUGUUGUUAGAGAAGAACAAGGAUGAGAGUAGAACGUUCAUCCCUUGACGGUAUCUAACCAGAAAGCCACGGCUAAGUACGUGCCAGCAGCCGCGGUAAUACGUAGGUGGCAAGCGUUGUCCGGAUUUAUUGGGCGUAAAGCGAGCGCAGGCGGUUUCUUAAGUCUGAUGUGAAAGCCCCCGGCUCAACCGGGGAGGGUCAUUGGAAACUGGGAGACUUGAGUGCAGAAGAGGAGAGUGGAAUUCCAUGUGUAGCGGUGAAAUGCGUAGAUAUAUGGAGGAACACCAGUGGCGAAGGCGGCUCUCUGGUCUGUAACUGACGCUGAGGCUCGAAAGCGUGGGGAGCGAACAGGAUUAGAU